GCGGAUAACCCGGGUAGCCUCCUUGUUGAUGAGGCGGAUAUCCACCGUGUUGCGGGUAUGCACCGGGCGGUGGAUACCCACCAGGCCCAGCUGGAGGAUAUGCUCCCGGCGGCGGAUAUCCACCAGCCUGCGGCGGGUAUCCGUAAACACCACCACCGUGUUUAUCGUCGUGUCCCUGUGGUGGAUAUCCGGAAGGACCCGGCGGGUAUGCAGACGGGGCUCCAUGUCCGGGCGGGUAAGCGGUAACGGGCUGAUGAUCCAUGGGCUUGUGAUCUA
RNAcentral lists this long non-coding RNA (276 nucleotides) under Eutrema salsugineum. RNAcentral describes it as "long non-coding RNA (ESAL_LNC000654)". The record is from RNAcentral. Lineage: Eukaryota; Viridiplantae; Streptophyta; Magnoliopsida; Brassicales; Brassicaceae.